This 343-nucleotide long non-coding RNA is filed under the name Pan troglodytes (chimpanzee). RNAcentral describes it as "long non-coding RNA NONPTRT002980". The record is from RNAcentral. Lineage: Eukaryota; Metazoa; Chordata; Mammalia; Primates; Hominidae.
AAAUUCAUCAUGGGAGGGAGGAGCUGAAAACCUGAGCAGAGUGUAAGAUCCAAGAGGUCAUGGGCCUUUUUCUUUCUUUCUUUGCCAUGUUAUCUCCAACAUCUGGAACAGAGUCUGGCACAAAGGCUUCCGUGAAUUUGGAGAUUUUCCUGAGCUGGGAGGUGACCAAACAUAUCUACUCCUUUGAUCUCAACACUUCCUGAAAAACAGAUACUAACAACCAAGAUUUUCAGAGAGGCAAGGCUAAGCACCAGCCAGGAAAUAGAAGCAUUCCAUGAGGCCAGCAUUAACCUAACAUCAACACCAGAUAAAGACGUUUCAAGAAAGAAAAACUAUUCUAUCC